Molecule: ribosomal RNA, 497 nt
Filed under: uncultured bacterium
Lineage: Bacteria
Description: partial 16S ribosomal RNA
Rfam family: Bacterial small subunit ribosomal RNA
Source: RNAcentral
GAUGAACGCUGGCGGCGUGCCUAACACAUGCAAGUCGAGCGAACAGACGAGGAGCUUGCUCCUCUGACGUUAGCGGCGGACGGGUGAGUAACACGUGGAUAACCUACCUAUAAGACUGGGAUAACUUCGGGAAACCGGAGCUAAUACCGGAUAAUAUAUUGAACCGUAUGGUUCAAUAGUGAAAGACGGCUUUGCUGUCACUUAUAGAUGGAUCCGCGCCGCAUUAGCUAGUUGGUAGGGUAACGGCUUACCAAGGCAACGAUGCGUAGCCGACCUGAGAGGGUGAUGGGCCACAGUGGAACUGAGAGACGGACCGGACUCCUACGGGAGGCAGCACUGGGGAAUCUUCCGCAAUGGGCGGAAGCGUGAAAGAGCAACGCCGCGUGGGUGGUGAGAGGCUUCGGAGCGUAAAGCGCUGUUAUUAGGGAAGAACAGAUGUGUAAGUAACUAUGCACGUCUUGACGGUACCUAAGCAGAAAGCCACGGCUAACUACGUG